GAAAACUCCGGUGGUAUGGGAUGGGCCCGCGUCUGAUUAGCUCGUUGGCGGGGUAACGGCCCACCAAGGCGACGAUCAGUAGCCGGCCUGAGAGGGCGGCCGGCCACAUUGGGACUGAGACACGGCCCAGACUCCUGCGGGAGGCAGCAGUGGGGAAUAUUGCACAAUGGGGGAAACCCUGAUGCAGCGACGCCGCGUGAGCGAUGAAGUAUCUCGGUAUGUAAAGCUCUAUCAGCAGGGAAGAAAGUGACAGUACCUGACUAAGAAGCCCCGGCUAACUACGUGCCAGCAGCCGCGGUAAUACGUAGGGGGCAAGCGUUAUCCGGAUUCACUGGGCGUAAAGGGAGCGCAGGCGGCACGGCAAGUCUGGUGUGAAAACCCGGGGCUCAACCCCGGGACUGCAUUGGAAACUGCCGGGCUGGAGUGUCGGAGGGGUAAGCGGAAUUCCUAGUGUAGCGGUGAAAUGCGUAGAUAUUAGGAGGAACACCAGUGGCGAAGGCGGCUUACUGGACGAUGACUGACGCUGAGGCUCGAAAGCGUGGGGAGCAAACAGGAUUAGAUACCCUGGUAGUCCACGCCGUA
RNAcentral lists this ribosomal RNA (582 nucleotides) under uncultured bacterium. Its description in RNAcentral is "bacterial SSU rRNA". It matches the Rfam family "Bacterial small subunit ribosomal RNA", at positions 202 to 804 of the family's 1533-position model. The record is from RNAcentral.